AGAGUUUGAUCAUGGCUCAGAUUGAACGCUGGCGGCAGGCCUAACACAUGCAAGUCGAACGGUAACAGGAAGCAGCUUGCUGCUUCGCUGACGAGUGGCGGACGGGUGAGUAAUGUCUGGGAAGCUGCCUGAUGGAGGGGGAUAACUACUGGAAACGGUAGCUAAUACCGCAUAAUGUCGCAAGACCAAAGAGGGGGACCUUCGGGCCUCUUGCCAUCGGAUGUGCCCAGAUGGGAUUAGCUUGUUGGUGGGGUAACGGCUCACCAAGGCGACGAUCCCUAGCUGGUCUGAGAGGAUGACCAGCCACACUGGAACUGAGACACGGUCCAGACUCCUACGGGAGGCAGCAGUGGGGAAUAUUGCACAAUGGGCGCAAGCCUGAUGCAGCCAUGCCGCGUGUAUGAAGAAGGCCUUCGGGUUGUAAAGUACUUUCAGCGGGGAGGAAGGGAGUAAAGUUAAUACCUUUGCUCAUUGACGUUACCCGCAGAAGAAGCACCGGCUAACUCCGUGCCAGCAGCCGCGGUAAUACGGAGGGUGCAAGCGUUAAUCGGAAUUACUGGGCGUAAAGCGCACGCAGGCGGUUUGUUAAGUCAGAUGUGAAAUCCCCGGGCUCAACCUGGGAACUGCAUCUGAUACUGGCAAGCUUGAGUCUCGUAGAGGGGGGUAGAAUUCCAGGUGUAGCGGUGAAAUGCGUAGAGAUCUGGAGGAAUACCGGUGGCGAAGGCGGCCCCCUGGACGAAGACUGACGCUCAGGUGCGAAAGCGUGGGGAGCAAACAGGAUUAGAUACCCUGGUAGUCCACGCCGUAAACGAUGUCGACUUGGAGGUUGUGCCCUUGAGGCGUGGCUUCCGGAGCUAACGCGUUAAGUCGACCGCCUGGGGAGUACGGCCGCAAGGUUAAAACUCAAAUGAAUUGACGGGGGCCCGCACAAGCGGUGGAGCAUGUGGUUUAAUUCGAUGCAACGCGAAGAACCUUACCUGGUCUUGACAUCCACGGAAGUUUUCAGAGAUGAGAAUNCCACCUUCCUCCAGUUUAUCACUGGCAGUCUCCUUUGAGUACCCGUUAUGGAGUUAUCUGCUGAUGCAGGAACAUAAACGCUAUUAUUUCCUGCUUUAGGAUUAGCUGGGUUUCCAACAGUUAUAACAGAAUCAGCAGUAGCAAAAGCGAUACCUACUUUGACAUUAGUAUUCAGAUCGUAACCGUAAUAAUCCUGCAAAGCUGUACGAAUAAAUGUUGCAGCCUGACCACUUAGCAAUGAACGCCCCGUAUCAAUCCCUCUAGAAUCAUCCCAGCCACGAAUAAACUCACCACGUAAAUCAGGCAAUUUAUUUGUCGGGUAAGCCUUUGCCAGUUCCGGGUAUUCUUCAGCAGAAAAAGCUGCUCCGUUGCAUUUCAGCCAGCCUGUUGGAGGUGUCUCUGAAGGCCACGGAACAGGUGCACCAACAGGUAAUGCUGAACCUUCUCCCAAACCAAGGUUUUCGAGAGCCGUUUUCACCGUGCCAUCCGAUUUGAUAUCGCCAAACGGAUUCUUGCGGCUUAACAGCAGAGCACGAAGCGCGGUAAGCAACUGGUCGUUUCGCCCCUUCUCCAGGCUGGCACCGGAUGCCUCCACCACGC
RNAcentral lists this ribosomal RNA (1617 nucleotides) under Escherichia coli. Its description in RNAcentral is "bacterial SSU rRNA". The stretch from base 1 to 1279 matches the Rfam family "Bacterial small subunit ribosomal RNA". Lineage: Bacteria; Pseudomonadati; Pseudomonadota; Gammaproteobacteria; Enterobacterales; Enterobacteriaceae. The record is from RNAcentral.